AAGACCAAAAGGUGCAUAAUUAUAUCAUCCCAUGUAUUCACUAUAGCUCAUAAUAAAUUGUAAGCCUCACAUUUUCCACCAAAGAUGAAUUAACUAACCAUGAUUCAAUUUUACCACUGUAUAUUUACAGUCCAGUAAGUUAUAUUGAGACAAAAUUGGUACUUAGGACAGUCUAGGAUCUUCCAUCUAUACAGGAAGCAUGUGACAUGGCACAGUCAAACUCAUCAUACAUCUGUUAACCAUACUUCCUGUAAAAGGCAGAAGCCUCACACAGCCCAGUAACUUUGCUAGUACCUCUUGAGUGCAAGGUGGAGAAUUAAGAUCUGGAUUUGAGACGGAGCACAGAACAUUUCACUCAGGGGAAGAGCUAUGAACAUGCUGACUGCCAGCCUGCUGAGGGCAGUCAUAACCUCCAUCUGUGUUGGAUCCAGCAUGGCUCAGAAGGUAACUCAAGCUCAGACUGAAAUUUCUGUGGUGGAGAAGGAGGAUGUGACCUUGGACUGUGUGUAUGAAACCCGUGAUACUACUUAUUACUUAUUCUGGUACAAGCAACCACCAAGUGGAGAAUUGGUUUUCCUUAUUCGUCAGAACUCUUUUGAUGAGCAAAAUGAAAUAAAUGGUCGAUAUUAUUCGAACUUCCAGAAAUCCACCAGUUCCUUCAACCUCACCAUCACAGCCUCACAGGUCGUGGACUCAGCAGUAUACUUCUGUGCUCUGAAUGAAGCCACAGUGAGAUGGGUGUCGGUGGGAGCCCUACAAAAACCUCAACAAGAGACAGGGCUCCUGGGGAGAGACUCCAUCACAGACAGGAAGAAGCAAGUUGGGGCUGUGUCAGCACAGGUGGUUUGGCAAGGAAACCUGAGUUCAAUUCAUGUACAGUGUCUAGAUAUAUCAUUUAUUAGAAGCAUGGGUGUCUUCUAUUCUUUAGAAUAGAUUGAGACAGAAUAUAUAGCACAUAUUUUUAUAUGAUAUAUAGAAUUAUGCAACAAAAAGUGCAAAAACAAAAUAUAUUAAUCUCGUGUUGGUUUUAUUGAGGGUGGGAAACUAUCCAAUUAUCUUCAGACCAAAUGGAUGAUUCCAUUCAUAAGCUGUUAAGUUUUCAGAAUGAUUCAUACAUUUAUGCAUUAAUUAUUACGUAGAAUGCUUUAAUCCAAGUGUAAUAGAAAUGCCUUCCAUUGAUUUUUCUUAAUAAUGGUAUCAUUACUAAAUGAGGUAGAAUAAUUAAAUUUAGACUUCUUUCCAUAAUCAUACCAGCAACCUCUUAUACAUCAGAAUAGAUGUGAAAUGUUCCUCAAAUUUCCUUUCUCUGGCUCCUCUCUUUUUGUGACAUGAUUAUGAUAUUUUAAAAGUAUCUAAGUAUUUUGCUUUCAUUUAGAGGCUGCCUACAAAGAGAGAUGUGUAAGGUGGGAAUUGGUCCUAACCUAUUGAAUAUCUUGCCUUCACCCUUUCCCCUCUGAGUUCUGGCCAGUUUGAAGCUGAGAAGUGGUUAGGGCCAGAAUUACAACUGCUAUGGCAAACAGAACCCAGAUGGUGUGUCCAGUGUCUACUUCCUGUCUAAACAUAUAUUUUCCUUGGAUAUUACAGCAGGUGCUCAGGAACAGGGAUUUUUAUUUCUUUUGCUCCACACAAGUUUUUAGAAACCUGAGUUUUUAACAUUAAAAGAAAACAGAUAUCACAUUAAA
This is a non-coding RNA of Macaca mulatta (Rhesus monkey), 1682 nucleotides long. The record is from the annotation of a RefSeq genome assembly. NCBI's taxonomy places the organism in Eukaryota, Metazoa, Chordata, Mammalia, Primates, Cercopithecidae.